GUCUAUAUGAAGGUGUAUAUAGUUUGGCCUGCUCACUGAUUAUAUUAAAGAGCCGCAGUAUUUUGACUGUGCGAAGGUAGCAUAAUAAAUUGUCUUUUAAAUGGAGGCUUGAAUGAAAGGUUGGACAAAGUAUCAUCUGUUUCUUAAAUAUUUAUUGAAUUUGACUUUCAAGUGAAAAGGCUUGAAUAAAUUAAAAAGACGAUAAGACCCUAUAAAUCUUUACAAUAGACAUAUUUUAUAUUUUUAUUUAUUAAGUGAAUGAAAUAUUAAAUUUGUAGUUGUUCCGCUGGGGCGGCGUAGAUAUAUAAAUGAACUGUCUAUAAUUUUAAAUACAAUAAUUAUUGAUUAAUGAAAUUGAUCCUUAAAUAGAUUAAAAGAUUAAGAUACUUUAGGGAUAACAGCGUUAUUUUUUCUGAGAGUUCUUAUCGAAGAAAAAGUUUGCGACCUCGAUGUUGAAUUAAAGUAUCUUUAUGGUGCAGUCGCUAUAAGAGAGAGUCUGUUCGACUUUUAAUACUUUACAUGAUUUGAGUUCAGACCGGCGUGAG
Molecule: ribosomal RNA, 545 nt
Filed under: Pagurus minutus
Lineage: Eukaryota; Metazoa; Arthropoda; Malacostraca; Decapoda; Paguridae
Description: partial small subunit ribosomal RNA
Rfam family: Bacterial large subunit ribosomal RNA
Source: RNAcentral